RNAcentral lists this ribosomal RNA (253 nucleotides) under uncultured bacterium. Its description in RNAcentral is "partial 16S ribosomal RNA". It matches the Rfam family "Bacterial small subunit ribosomal RNA", at positions 524 to 776 of the family's 1533-position model. The record is from RNAcentral.
UACGAAGGGUGCAAGCAUUAAUCGGAUUUAUUGGGCGUAAAGGGCGCGUAGGCGGCCGUGUAAGUCAGGUGUGAAAUCCCGGGGCUCAACCUCGGAACAGCAUUUGAAACUGCGCGGCUAGAGGAUAGGCGGAGAAAACGGAAUUCCACAAGUAGCGGUGAAAUGCGUAGAUAUGUGGAAGAACACCGGUGGCGAAGGCGGUUUUCUAGCUUAUUCCUGACGCUAAAGCGCGAAAGUAAGGGGAUCAAACAGG